UCCGGUUUGGCACCGGCAGUCUGACUAGAGUCCCCGACAUUACUCGCUGGCAACUAGUCACAAGGGUUGCGCUCGUUGCGGGACUUAACCCAACAUCUCACGACACGAGCUGACGACAGCCAUGCACCACCUGUGCACCGGCCCCGAAAGGCUGCCGUAUUUCUACGGCAUUCCAGUGCAUGUCAAGCCUUGGUAAGGUUCUUCGCGUUGCGUCGAAUUGAACCACAUCAUCCACCGCUUGUGCGGGUCCCCGUCAAUUCCUUUGAGUUUUAAUCUUGCGACCGUACCCCCCAGGCGGAGUGCUUAAUGCGUUAGCUGCGUCACCGAACGGCAUGCCGCCCGACAACUAGCACUCAUCGUUUACAGCGUGGACUAC
Molecule: unclassified non-coding RNA, 376 nt
Filed under: uncultured bacterium
Lineage: Bacteria
Description: contains 16S-23S intergenic spacer region
Source: RNAcentral